RNAcentral lists this long non-coding RNA (3114 nucleotides) under Salmo salar (Atlantic salmon). RNAcentral's name for it is "lncRNA (ENSSSAG00000121734.1)". The record is from RNAcentral. Lineage: Eukaryota; Metazoa; Chordata; Actinopteri; Salmoniformes; Salmonidae.
CAGGUAGAAGUUGUGUCCCGCACCACAGUCCCUGAGCCCCAGGACACUACUGCUGAAUAAAGAACUCCAGGUAGAAGUUGUGUCCCGCACCACAGUCCCUGAGCCCCAGGACACUACUGCUGAAUAAAGAACUCCAGGUAGAAGUUGCCCCUAAACACUGAUCUAGGAUCAGAUUCCACCCCCAGAUUCUAACCUUAAAUGAUAAUGGGGAAAAUGAAAAAUGUAUCUAAAGACCGAACGUAUGUGCUCGCAUACACCCCUAAAAGACCUUUGCUUGAAAAAAUAGAAAUAGUACUGUUUGUCCAUUUGGAAUGCCGUAGCCAGUACACACUUCCUCAAAAUAAUCAGAAUGAAUCUAAAAUAACUUUAGAAAUCUGUCAUACAUUUUUACGUUUUUGCCGAGGAGAUCUUAGUCGCGCAGUUUUACAGUGGUGGGAAAAGUACUCAAUUGUCGUGACUUAAGUGAAAGUAAAAUACUACUUAAGUAAAAGGCUAAAAGUAUUUGGUUUUAAAUAUACUCAAGUAUCAAAAGUAAAUGAAAUUGCUAAAAUAUACUUAAGUAUCAAAAGUAAAAAAUCAUUUUAAAUUCCUUCUAUUAAGCAAACCAGACGGCGUAAUUUUCUUGUAGUUUUAAUUAACGGAUAGCCAGGGGCACACUCCAACAUAAUUUACAAACUACUCAUUUGUGUUUAGUUCGUCCGCCAGAUCAGAGGCAGUAGGGAUGACUAGGGAUGUUCUCUUGAUAAGCGCGUUUAAUUUGACAAUUUUCCUGUCCUGCUAAGCAUUCAAAAUGUAGCGGGUAGUUUUGGGUGUCAUGGAAAAUGUUUGGUCAUAAAAAGUAUAUUAUUUUCUUUAGGAAUGUAGUGGAGUAAAAGUAGUAAAAAAAUAUAAAUAGUAAAGUACAAAUAGCCCCAAAAACGAAUUAAGUAGUACUUUAAAGUAUUUUUACUUAAGUACUUUACACCACUGCAAUUUUACAUCUAACUAAGAUGUUUGGUGCAGUAUUUCACAAUGAAAGAAUUUGCAUGAAAACGUGUCAUUUCUCAUUGAAUGACAACAGACUUUAUAGAGCCCCACAGUGGAGGUGUUAUAAUACCCAUAAAACCUAGCGGUCAAACCGGGAAAUGGUUCCAGUCGUUUUUCCACCAUACAUUUUUCCCAUAGGGGAUUUUAGAUACACUUAAAAUAAGGGCUGUGUUUCGUGUAGGCUUACCCUGGUGUGAUGUUUUGAUAACCAUGUAAAUCUCUAUUGGACAAGGUGACUUUUAUCAAUAUAUUCGGCUCUAUUUACUUUGAUUCUAAAAUGCUAAUUAGCAUCAAAGUUGACAUCAUGCAAGACUACAAAUCCCUGCAAGCUCCUGCACGUCACCUGUUGCUGACAUCUUUGUAUUGUGUUCAUUUAAAACGUGCACAAGACCGUAAACAGAAUUGUCAAUUUAAAUUAAAUGUUAAUGUAUUCAUUAGUACAUUUAGCUAACAUUAGAUAAUUAAUAUGCACAAACACAUCCAAACUGUUUUGGCUGGGAAACAUGCGGACUCCUUAAGAUCAGCGUCCGGGGCAACUUCUCCUGACUUAAUGUUUAUGUCCCAAAUGGCACCCUAUUUCCUACAUAGUGCACUACUUUGGGUCCUGGUCAAAAGUAGAGCACUACAUAGGAAAUAGGGUGCCAUUUGGGAUGCAUCCCAUAUAAAUACUGUACAUAUCUGAGAGAGACUAAAAAGUGUGCUCAUUUGCACCCAGCACAAUCUCAACUGAAGCCUGAUGUGAGGGCAGGUGAGGUGAUGUGAGGUGAGGGCUUGGCAGGUGAGGUGAGGGAAGGUGAGGUGAGGGCAGGUGAGGUGAGGGCAGGUGAGGGCAGGUGAGGUGAGGGCAGGUGAGGUGAGGUGAGGGCAGGUGAGGUGAGGUGAGGGCAGGUGAGGUAAGGUGAGGGCAGGUGAGGUGAGGGCAGGCCUGUCUUGGUUUGGACCUGUUCUACUGCUUCUGACCUACUGUUUUGAUGUCUCUAAUGUUCUUCUAAGCUGUUGAAAUAACAAGCUUUUCUAAUCAAAGUGCUUGUCUGUCGUGUAACUUUUCCAUAAGCACACAGCUCACACCUUCAAGAUAAUUCUCUGAGAUGAUCAUUUUCUCCAGUGUGAGGAUCAUCAAAGCAAGACAGUGCCGAUCUGAUGUUACUUCUUCAACUCAGCCCAUUUUGUUGUCAAUACAGAAGAUCAUUCAGUCACAUUUAUUCAUUCACUCAGAGGGAGAGAACAUUUCAACACUGCUUAUUCUACCACUCAUCUCAACAGUUUUUCUGUUGUAGAGUUAUGUUUUUGUUGAAAAGGUAACAGCAGCUACACCACAUUUACUUAAAGAGGAUCCUUUGAGCCAACAUCCUGUCAGCCGGCCCAUAAACACCUCAAGGGGACAGUUCAGCAGGCCGUAGGGAGGGGAGGGGGGUAAACAGGCCUGUAGCCCUUCCAGUCAAUACAAGCAGAGAAGAAGAGGGGGGAAGUCAGGAAGGGAGGGAGGAGGGGAGGAGGGAUACAGAGGCUAUUCUCCCUCUGAUGUAGUCCUGUUGACAAUGGGAGGAGGGCUUGACACCUUGCUCUUGGUUCUAGCAGGUAGAUUGCUCCUCCUGUCCUAUCCUCUCUAGCCCUGACUGGAGACUGAUGGUGGUGGGAGACAGAGGUUGUAUCCCAAAGUUCCUAUCUAGAACAUUACGUUUGACCAGGGCCCAUAGUGUCCUGACCUCUCCUGUCUUGAGGGGAGAUCUUCCCUCCCUGUGUCUCCUUGUCUCGCUCCCUCCCUGUCUUCUCUCCCUCCCUGUCUUCUCUCCUUCCCUCCCUGUCUUCUCUCCUUCCCUCCCUCCGUCUUCUCUCCUUCCCUCCCUCCGUCUUCUCGCCUUCCCUCCCUCCCUCCGUCUUCUCGCCUUCCCUUCCUCACUGUCUCCUCUCCCUCCCUGUCUUGUUCUCACCCUCCCUUCCUGUUCUCCCUCCCUCCUUCCCUCCCUGUCUUCUCGCUCUCCCUCCCUGUCUUCUCAUCUGCCCUCCCUUCCUGUCUUCUUCUCUCCUUCCCUCGCUCCCUGUUUUCUCUUCUCCCUACCUCCCUUCCCUCCCUCCCUUCCCUCCCUC